This 309-nucleotide ribosomal RNA is filed under the name uncultured bacterium. Its description in RNAcentral is "partial 16S ribosomal RNA". It matches the Rfam family "Bacterial small subunit ribosomal RNA", at positions 504 to 807 of the family's 1533-position model. The record is from RNAcentral.
AGAGACAGCAGUAGCCGCGGGAAUACAGAGGAUGCGAGCGUUGCUCGGAAUGACUGGGCGUAAAGGGCGCGUAGGCGGAUGGCAUAGUCAGAUGUGAAAUUCCCGGGCUUAACCUGGGGGCUGCAUUUGAUACGUGGUGUCUAGAGUGAGGAAGAGGGUCGUGGAAUUCCCAGUGUAGAGGUGAAAUUCGUAGAUAUUGGGAAGAACACCGGUGGCGAAGGCGGCGACCUGGUCCUUUACUGACGCUGAGGCGCGAAAGCGUGGGGAGCAAACAGGAUUAGAGACCCGUGUAGUCCCUGUCUCUUAUAC